GAUCCUGGCUCAGGAUGAACGCUGGCGGCGUGCCUAACACAUGCAAGUCGAACGAAGCGACUCGAAGUUUUCGGACAGAGAGUUGACUGAGUGGCGGACGGGUGAGUAACGCGUGGGUAACCUGCCUCAUACAGGGGGAUAACAGUUAGAAAUGACUGCUAAUACCGCAUAAGCGCACAGCAUCGCAUGAUGCAGUGUGAAAAGCCGAGACGGUAUGAGAUGGACCCGCGUCUGAUUAGCUAGUUGGUGGGGUAACGGCCCACCAAGGCGACGAUCAGUAGCCGACCUGAGAGGGUGACCGGCCACAUUGGGACUGAGACACGGCCCAAACUCCUACGGGAGGCAGCAGUGGGGAAUAUUGCACAAUGGGGGAAACCCUGAUGCAGCGACGCCGCGUGAGUGAAGAAGUAUUUCGGUAUGUAAAGCUCUAUCAGCAGGGAAGAAAAUGACGGUACCUGACUAAGAAGCCCCGGCUAACUACGUG
RNAcentral lists this ribosomal RNA (484 nucleotides) under uncultured bacterium. Its description in RNAcentral is "bacterial SSU rRNA". It matches the Rfam family "Bacterial small subunit ribosomal RNA", at positions 15 to 507 of the family's 1533-position model. The record is from RNAcentral.